This 216-nucleotide ribosomal RNA is filed under the name Triticum aestivum (bread wheat). RNAcentral's name for it is "partial small subunit ribosomal RNA". The record is from RNAcentral. Lineage: Eukaryota; Viridiplantae; Streptophyta; Magnoliopsida; Poales; Poaceae.
AUGUCCCUUCAUUUUCGGCGGCCCCCACGCGUCCCGCAACCCACGAACCGACAAUGUGGACCCACACAAAUCAUGAGACCCACAGGGCAGCGAUACCGCCCACGACUUAUCCGAAGAAAUCUCCCUUCCUCGACUGAACCAGAACCCUACUGCCGCGGCGCUUCCCCGGCUGCCCAGCUCCUGGCCAUCCCCCAGACUCUUCAUCAUCUCCCCUAA